CUAACUGGUAAACACGAACACACAUUCUGUUCUAAUCGGUGUGAAAACUGGUUUCCCUGCUUUUGGUGGGGUCUUUUUCACAUUCAUUUUUGGAACUACUGCUUUAGGUUAGCUUGCUAGCCAAUCGCGGUACGGUCUCCGGGGGCUUUCACCCAUCCCCCGCGAGGCCAACUACAC
RNAcentral lists this small nuclear RNA (177 nucleotides) under Phytophthora sojae strain P6497. Its description in RNAcentral is "U2 spliceosomal RNA". It matches the Rfam family "U2 spliceosomal RNA". Rfam says of the family: U2 is a small nuclear RNA (snRNA) component of the spliceosome (involved in pre-mRNA splicing). Complementary binding between U2 snRNA (in an area lying towards the 5' end but 3' to hairpin I) and the branchpoint sequence (BPS) of the intron results the bulging out of an unpaired adenosine, on the BPS, which initiates a nucleophilic attack at the intronic 5' splice site, thus starting the first of two transesterification reactions that mediate splicing. Lineage: Eukaryota; Oomycota; Peronosporomycetes; Peronosporales; Peronosporaceae. The record is from Rfam by way of RNAcentral.